RNAcentral lists this ribosomal RNA (347 nucleotides) under uncultured bacterium. Its description in RNAcentral is "partial 16S ribosomal RNA". It matches the Rfam family "Bacterial small subunit ribosomal RNA", at positions 338 to 682 of the family's 1533-position model. The record is from RNAcentral.
CCGACGGGAGGCAGCAGGGAGGAAUAUUGGUCAAUGGACGGAAGUCUGAACCAGCCAUGCCGCGUGCAGGAAGACGGCGCUAUGAGUUGUAAACUGCUUUUGUACAAGGGUAAACCUGAAUACGUGUAUUCAGCUGAAAGUACCGUACGAAUAAGGAUCGGCUAACUCCGUGCCAGCAGCCGCGGUAAUACGGAGGAUCCAAGCGUUAUCCGGAUUUAUUGGGUUUAAAGGGUGAGUAGGCGGUUUGAUAAGUUAGAGGUGAAAUCUCGGCGCUUAACUCGGGAACUGCCUCUAAUACUGUUGGUCUAGAGCGUAGUUGCGGUAGGCGGAAUGUCUGGUGUAGCGGU